This 501-nucleotide ribosomal RNA is filed under the name uncultured bacterium. Its description in RNAcentral is "bacterial SSU rRNA". It matches the Rfam family "Bacterial small subunit ribosomal RNA", at positions 28 to 529 of the family's 1533-position model. The record is from RNAcentral.
GAUGAACGCUGGCGGCGUGCUUAACACAUGCAAGUCGAACGAAGCGAUUGGAAGGAAGUUUUCGGAUGGAAUUCUGAUUGACUGAGUGGCGGACGGGUGAGUAACGCGUGGGUAACCUGCCUCAUACAGGGGGAUAACAGUUAGAAAUGACUGCUAAUACCGCAUAAGCGCACAGGAUUGCAUGAUCCGGUGUGAAAAACUCCGGUGGUAUGAGAUGGACCCGCGUCUGAUUAGCUGGUUGGUGGGGUAACGGCCCACCAAGGCGACGAUCAGUAGCCGACCUGAGAGGGUGACCGGCCACAUUGGGACUGAGACACGGCCCAAACUCCUACGGGAGGCAGCAGUGGGGAAUAUUGCACAAUGGGGGAAACCCUGAUGCAGCAACGCCGCGUGAGUGAAGAAGUAUUUCGGUAUGUAAAGCUCUAUCAGCAGGGAAGAAAAUGACGGUACCUGAGUAAGAAGCCCCGGCUAACUACGUGCCAGCAGCCGCGGUAAUACGUA